Molecule: long non-coding RNA, 394 nt
Organism: Alosa sapidissima (American shad)
Lineage: Eukaryota; Metazoa; Chordata; Actinopteri; Clupeiformes; Clupeidae
Exons: 3
Source: RefSeq, a predicted model, not a curated record
AUGAAACGAGAGGUUUUCUCCCUUUUAUGGUAUGCUCAUGAAUAUUUAGAUGAGCUGUGCGCUGAUUGGUUGGUUUACAACGAGCGAAGCUGCGGAGCAAACGCGUCAUGGCCACAAGCACUCACUCACUGAAACAUCGAAAUUGUUGAUAUGGACACAUUAGGUGUUGAACCAUAUAUGUAUGAGCCAGAAUCAGAGGAAGAAUCUGAUGUAGAGGAGCAACCAGUCGCCCAUAGAUUACAAAUGACUACUUCAGAAUGGUGUACGUGUGGAAACUAUGACCGCAUGCCCCAGGAGAGAGAAAAUAUAUGUUGCCGGGAAGUACCCCAGGUCAUGAGAAGAAUGACCCAGGUUCCGGAGGAGAUAACCUGUAUGAUUGACCAUCCUGGCCUUG